ACUUAAGUAACUGUGAGAAAUGCUGCUACGGUGGCAUUGGAAAGUGCUGUGGCAACAGGGAGGACAAAGUGGCUCCAUUUGUGAUUCUGUCAGCCCUUGGACUCACUGAUGGGACCGUUCUCCCACUGCUUUUCUUUCUUUGAGCUUCUUUUCUGCUAUCUGGCUGGAAGGAAUAGCUUCUUGUGGACCCCUCUACUUCCAUCUAAAAGCCUUCUCCCUUCCUCCUACUUUAUUUCUAGUUUGAUGCAGACUGGAAUGGGGGCUAAUUAACUUGGUUAAAAGUUCUGAGCCAGGCAAGGUGGCUC
Molecule: long non-coding RNA, 305 nt
Filed under: Homo sapiens (human)
Lineage: Eukaryota; Metazoa; Chordata; Mammalia; Primates; Hominidae
Description: LHRI_LNC2000.1
Source: RNAcentral